GUGACUUGUACUCGUAAGGUGGUGGCGGAGAUUUUUCGGGUGGUGGAGGUGACUUGUACUCAUAAGGUGGUGGUGGAGAUUUUUCGGGUGGUGGAGGUGACUUGUACUCAUAAGGUGGAGAUUUUUCAGGUGGUGGUGGUGACUUAUACUCAUAAGGUGGAGAUUUUUCAGGUGGUGGUGGUGAUUUAUAUUCAUAAGGUGGGGGUGGUGGAGAAGCAUAAGAGUAGGCAUCAGCAGAUACUGAAACUACAUUACUUGAAACAACAACUAUAAUGGCCAGCAAUGCCACUACAAAAUGGGGCCAAAACUGACCCGGAGGCGGGUUUCCGCCCGGAAUCGCCAUGAUUACCGGAACAAUGACCUCUUUCCGAUCAAUGUGGCAGGCUUUUCUGCAGUUCUUCUCUAAAGAUGAAAAGUGAAUUUUAGAGAAGAAAUUGGGAAAGAAACAAAUAGAUGAGUU
RNAcentral lists this long non-coding RNA (460 nucleotides) under Citrus x clementina. RNAcentral's name for it is "Citrus clementina (C. clementina) long non-coding RNA (CCLE_LNC004539)". The record is from RNAcentral. Lineage: Eukaryota; Viridiplantae; Streptophyta; Magnoliopsida; Sapindales; Rutaceae.